GGCUUAGAGUUUGAUCAUGGCUCAGGAUAAACGCUGGCGGCGCACAUAAGACAUGCAAGUCGAACGAACUUAACCAUUAGUUUACUAUUGGAGCGGUUAGUGGCGGACUGGUGAGUAACACGUAAGCAACCUGCCUGUUAGAGGGGAACAACAGUUAGAAAUGACUGCUAAUACCGCAUAUGCCAUAGUGAGGACAUCCUCACAGUGGGAAAGGAGAAAUCCGCUGACAGAUGGGCUUGCGUCUGAUUAGCUAGUUGGUGUGGUAACGGCAUACCAAGGCAACGAUCAGUAGCCGGGCUGAGAGGUUGAACGGCCACAUUGGGACUGAGAUACGGCCCAGACUCCUACGGGAGGCAGCAGUCGGGAAUAUUGCGCAAUGGAGGAAACUCUGACGCAGUGACGCCGCGUGCAGGAAGAAGGUUUUCGGAUUGUAAACUGCUUUAGACAGGGAAGAAAAAGGACAGUACCUGUAGAAUAAGCUCCGGCUAACUACGUGCCAGCAGCCGCGGUAAUACGUAGGGAGCAAGCGUUAUCCGGAUUUAUUGGGUGUAAAGGGUGCGUAGACGGGAAAUUAAGUUAGCUGUGAAAUUCCUCGGCUUAACUGAGGAACUGCAACUAAAACUGAUUUUCUUGAGUGCUGGAGAGGAAAGUGGAAUUCCUAGUGUAGCGGUGAAAUGCGUAGAUAUUAGAGGAACACCAGUGGCGAAAGCGACUUUCUGGACAGUAACUGACGUUGAGGCACGAAAGUGUGGGGAGCAAACAGGAUUAGAUACCCUGGUAGUCCACACCGUAAACGAUGGAUACUAGUGUAGGGGAUGAGUAAUCUUCUGUGCCGUCGCAAACGCAGUAAGUAUCCCACCUGGGGAGU
This 868-nucleotide ribosomal RNA is filed under the name uncultured bacterium. RNAcentral describes it as "bacterial SSU rRNA". It matches the Rfam family "Bacterial small subunit ribosomal RNA", at positions 1 to 881 of the family's 1533-position model. The record is from RNAcentral.